Molecule: ribosomal RNA, 1245 nt
Filed under: Leuconostoc citreum
Lineage: Bacteria; Bacillati; Bacillota; Bacilli; Lactobacillales; Lactobacillaceae
Description: bacterial SSU rRNA
Rfam family: Bacterial small subunit ribosomal RNA
Source: RNAcentral
UCAAAAUAAUGCAAGUCGAACGCGCAGCGAGAGGUGCUUGCACCUUUCAAGCGAGUGGCGAACGGGUGAGUAACACGUGGAUAACCUGCCUCAAGGCUGGGGAUAACAUUUGGAAACAGAUGCUAAUACCGAAUAAAACUUAGUAUCGCAUGAUAUCAAGUUAAAAGGCGCUACGGCGUCACCUAGAGAUGGAUCCGCGGUGCAUUAGUUAGUUGGUGGGGUAAAGGCUUACCAAGACGAUGAUGCAUAGCCGAGUUGAGAGACUGAUCGGCCACAUUGGGACUGAGACACGGCCCAAACUCCUACGGGAGGCUGCAGUAGGGAAUCUUCCACAAUGGGCGCAAGCCUGAUGGAGCAACGCCGCGUGUGUGAUGAAGGCUUUCGGGUCGUAAAGCACUGUUGUAUGGGAAGAAAUGCUAAAAUAGGGAAUGAUUUUAGUUUGACGGUACCAUACCAGAAAGGGACGGCUAAAUACGUGCCAGCAGCCGCGGUAAUACGUAUGUCCCGAGCGUUAUCCGGAUUUAUUGGGCGUAAAGCGAGCGCAGACGGUUGAUUAAGUCUGAUGUGAAAGCCCGGAGCUCAACUCCGGAAUGGCAUUGGAAACUGGUUAACUUGAGUGUUGUAGAGGUAAGUGGAACUCCAUGUGUAGCGGUGGAAUGCGUAGAUAUAUGGAAGAACACCAGUGGCGAAGGCGGCUUACUGGACAACAACUGACGUUGAGGCUCGAAAGUGUGGGUAGCAAACAGGAUUAGAUACCCUGGUAGUCCACACCGUAAACGAUGAAUACUAGGUGUUAGGAGGUUUCCGCCUCUUAGUGCCGAAGCUAACGCAUUAAGUAUUCCGCCUGGGGAGUACGACCGCAAGGUUGAAACUCAAAGGAAUUGACGGGGACCCGCACAAGCGGUGGAGCAUGUGGUUUAAUUCGAAGCAACGCGAAGAACCUUACCAGGUCUUGACAUCCUUUGAAGCUUUUAGAGAUAGAAGUGUUCUCUUCGGAGACAAAUGACAGGUGGUGCAUGGUCGUCCUCAGCUCCUGUCCUGAGAUGUUGGGUUAAGUCCCGCACCAGCGCACCCCUUAUUGUUAUUUGCCGCCAUUCAGUUGGGGACCCUAACGAGAAUGGCGGUGACAAACCGGAGGAAGGGGGGGACACAUCCAAAUAUCAUGCCCCCUAUUAACUGGGGUACACCCUGCUAAAAGGGGGGAAAAACAAAUUGCCACCCGGCGAAGGGAGCAAAUCCUUUAAA